This 224-nucleotide long non-coding RNA is filed under the name Lathyrus oleraceus (garden pea). RNAcentral describes it as "Pisum sativum (pea) long non-coding RNA (PSAT_LNC038739)". Lineage: Eukaryota; Viridiplantae; Streptophyta; Magnoliopsida; Fabales; Fabaceae. The record is from RNAcentral.
AAAGUCUUAUGGGCCUAACUACUCCAUGAAAUAUUGUGUUCAUAUCAUACAACUCCCCACUUUAUCACUAAGGAAACUCCAUUCACCAUGGUUUAUGGGGAUGACAUGAUGUUUCUCAUAGAAAUCGGUACGCCCUCAUGGAGACACCCCUAAUUCAACCAGAAGAUGAACAAAGCAGGUCUAGAAUGUUUUGUAGACCUGGUUGAUGAGUUGAGAGAAGUCAC